AUGUGCUAGGCAUAUUCUUGCAUUUUCUUAUGCAAUGUUUACCCAAUGUUUACCCAAUUACCACUUCAUUAAUAUAAACAAUUUGCUUACAGUUCGAAAUAUGUUUCCUUUUCAGAAUGUCCGAUUUGCAUCCAUUAUGCGCACAAAACUUACAGUAUUCCACAAAACAUAGUCUCAAGACUGGGAUAUAACAACAACAGAACUGACUUCAAAUGUGCAACAAACACAAAGGCGUCAGCAGAGCAUUGUGGGCCUCGCAUGGUAUCAUGUUCUAGCAGGUACUACCUACGAAGGGUUCGGCAGUCAGACAUUCAAUGGUGCAAACGUCAUAAGUGAAGUGGUUUUGCGCGAUUGCAGCAACGUGCCUGCACAGGAAUGUUUCAAAAUACCGGACCCACGCGCGACCGGUUUUACGAGUUUCACAGGCUUAUCAUGUUUAAGUGCCUCACCCAAAGUGUUUAGUCUGAAGAUUCACGAAUAUGACGUUAUCGGAAAUGGGCCAGCGUUUGAUGGUUCUACUUAUGAAAUGGAAACACAUGCAAACGAAACUGCACGACACAUCUACAGCACUGGGAACGUUGCUCUGCCUUCCUACUUCGCAUGGAUGUACUGUCCUAUUCCCCUGCUGAUGAUACUGUCAAUCUAAUAAUACAAGUACAACCUUGGAAGUGAAAUAAUAUAUAAAUUAUGUAAAAUAGUCGUAGGAAAGUAACUAAGUGAACCCAUUUAACAAAUUGACAAUUAAUUAUUUUAAACUAGGAAUUCAAAAAAGACAAGUACAUAGGCCUAGUCUUAUUGUUGUAUUAUCAAAUAUGUUACCUUUUAUGAUUAAUAAACAGAAAGAAUUG
Dreissena polymorpha is the source of this 848-nucleotide long non-coding RNA. RefSeq lists it as uncharacterized. Lineage: Eukaryota; Metazoa; Mollusca; Bivalvia; Myida; Dreissenidae. The transcript is spliced from 2 exons. The record is from RefSeq and is a predicted model, not a curated record.